GUGCCAGCCGCCGCGGUAAUACAGAGGGUGCUAACGUUGUUCGGAAUCACUGGGCUUAAAGCGCACGUAGGCGGCUAGGCAAGUGCGAUGUGAAAGCCCCCGGCCCAACCGGGGAACUGCAUCGUAGACUGCCUGGCUUGAGAGCGGUAGGGGAGACUAGAACUCCUGGUGGAGCGGUGAAAUGCGUAGAUAUCAGGAGGAAUACCGGUGGCGAAGGCGAGUCUCUGGUCCGCUUCUGACGCUCAGGUGCGAAAGCUAGGGGAGCAAACGGGAUUAGAUACCCGCGUAGUCC
This 292-nucleotide ribosomal RNA is filed under the name uncultured bacterium. RNAcentral's name for it is "partial 16S ribosomal RNA". It matches the Rfam family "Bacterial small subunit ribosomal RNA", at positions 505 to 796 of the family's 1533-position model. The record is from RNAcentral.